Molecule: non-coding RNA, 30 nt
Filed under: Rattus norvegicus (Norway rat)
Lineage: Eukaryota; Metazoa; Chordata; Mammalia; Rodentia; Muridae
Source: RNAcentral
UACUCAGAUAUGUCUGAAAUGGAUCUGCUC